UUUAACAGAUUUUGUUAAUUAAAUAUUAAAAUAGUAUUAUAAAAGAAUAAAAUAGUAAAUACAAUUGCUUAAAUGAAAAAUAUAAUAAAGGGGAAAAUACUAUACCAAAUUAAUAUUUCAUUUAUGAAUAGAUAUAGAUUCUCUUGAAUUAGAGUUUUACCAUAAUUCUUGCAAAUUCUAGAAAUUAGUUUUUCCAGUGUGCAGAGUUUGCUGAUUUAUAAUUAAAAAUAUAGAAGAAUAUAGAUUUUGUUCUAUAACUAUAUGAGUGGUGAAUAUAUAAAAAAAAAAAAGAAAAAAAAAGUGGGUGGUUACUGAAAUGGAAUGUGUCUGUAGUGUGCAUCAAAGCAAUGUGUGAAAACCAAAAGGGUAAAAGCCAAACAAAACAGCAAUAAAUAUUUUUCUAAUCUAAACUAAACAUACAUAAUGGUUUUCUUUUUGGGUAAAUAAACUGCGCAUGUUCUAUUUGUCACUUUGUGAAAGGGAAAAGUCUUUCUUGAGAUACCUUAAACAGUUUUUCAAUUUACAAUAUCAAACAAUAUUUAAUGCAUUUUAGUUUAUCUACUUAUUUUUUUAAUUACUAUUAAUAAAAAUGAUUUUGUUAUUAAAAUUAACAUAAUUAUUAAUUAAUUUGAUGACAGUAAUGCUAUUGGCCAUAGUCUGUUUCUGUAAUGACGUCAUUGGUGUAAUUGCUUACAGAAAAAAUAUUGGAUAGAAGCAAUGGAGAUGUAGCUGUUGAUCAGUAUCAUCGUUAUAAGGAUGAUGUUGCAAUCAUGAAGUAUAUGAACACAGAUGCAUACAGAUUCUCCAUCUCUUGGCCAAGGAUAUUGCCAAAAGGAAAAGUAAGCGCAGGUAUCAACCAAGAAGGAAUCAAAUAUUACAACAACCUCAUCAAUGAGCUACUCGAUAAUGGUAAUGCAUAAAUCAUACUAUUUUAGGAGGGAAUACUAUAUUACUAGUAUAUCAUAUUAUUGAUUGAUGGAGUUAUUGA
Long non-coding RNA from Lathyrus oleraceus (garden pea), 988 nucleotides. RefSeq lists it as uncharacterized. The record is from RefSeq and is a predicted model, not a curated record. The transcript is spliced from 3 exons. Lineage: Eukaryota; Viridiplantae; Streptophyta; Magnoliopsida; Fabales; Fabaceae.